RNAcentral lists this ribosomal RNA (158 nucleotides) under Yamadazyma akitaensis. Its description in RNAcentral is "5.8S rRNA". It matches the Rfam family "5.8S ribosomal RNA". From Rfam's summary of the family: 5.8S ribosomal RNA (5.8S rRNA) is a component of the large subunit of the eukaryotic ribosome. It is transcribed by RNA polymerase I as part of the 45S precursor that also contains 18S and 28S rRNA. Lineage: Eukaryota; Fungi; Ascomycota; Pichiomycetes; Serinales; Debaryomycetaceae. The record is from RNAcentral.
AAACUUUCAACAACGGAUCUCUGGGUUCUCGCAUCGAUGAAGAACGCAGCGAAAUGCGAUAAGUAAUAUGAAUUGCAGAUUUCCGUGAAUCAUCGAAUCUUUGAACGCACAUUGCGCCCCUUGUUAUUCCGGGGGCCAUGCCUGUUUGAGCGUCAUUU